Molecule: non-coding RNA, 24 nt
Filed under: Arabidopsis thaliana (thale cress)
Lineage: Eukaryota; Viridiplantae; Streptophyta; Magnoliopsida; Brassicales; Brassicaceae
Source: RNAcentral
UGAUAGUGACAUGUGCACAGUGAU